This is a long non-coding RNA of Temnothorax curvispinosus, 1758 nucleotides long. RefSeq lists it as uncharacterized. The record is from RefSeq and is a predicted model, not a curated record. Lineage: Eukaryota; Metazoa; Arthropoda; Insecta; Hymenoptera; Formicidae. The transcript is spliced from 4 exons.
ACCAGGGCGAUAUCAGAAAGCACACUAGUAAUCAUUCCGUAGUGAGCGAACACAGAAUGUCUUAUGGGCAUGAUUUUGACUGGGGGAAGCCAGAAAUAUUACACCAAGAAAGACAUACUAGAAAGAGGGAAUUAGCGGAGAUGUUUUUUAUUAAAAAAUUUGACGGCACUAUCAAUUUACAAAAGGACACGGAGAAUCUUAACGUUCUCUACGAACAUAUCAUAAAAGAAUUAUAACUCCUUCCCCUUCUUCGCUACUUCCCUCUCUACGUCCUAGCUUAUUACUAUGGCAACUGUUUGUUUUUAUAUUGUCAAGUUUGUCAGUCUAAAUUUUACCACCGCACGGCUCUGACAUGACACAAACAUCUAACGAAGUAUGCCGUUUAACGAAUAUUUUAUAUUGUAUUGUUUGAUCCUGACGCACAAAUAUUUUCUAGAUUCGGCGUAGUUAGGGCAUUAUGCCUGACGAAUAUAUUUGUGAGAGAGCGCUUGAAAAGGACCGGAUCCAGGGUCGAAACGUAGCGUUGUAAAUCAAUAAAAUUUGGCCAGCCAGUUCUGUUAAUUUUCAUGUAAAAUUGUAGUAUCUUAUAAACAUCUAAAAAAACCAAAUUUAUGUAGAUUUUCAUGAAUUCACGAGUUGUAAAAAGCAUCAUAGAUAUUUCUUCAACGAUGUCGAUACGCAACUAUCCAAAGCGCACAAUUAAAAUGUGAAUAGCAACUUUAACUUCAAUAGCAACUUAAAAAAAAAACAGAAAGAUUUAUUCAAUUUCAGCAGUAAAAGAUGAAGUUAGGUAUUGAUAAAGUUUAAACGCAGACAAGGAUCAAGAUCGAGAAGCAUGUAUAAAGUUUUCUGCUUUUCGAAACAAGAUCGGGGGAAGCAUGUAUAAAAAUUGUUGCAAUUGUAAUUCCUCUAAACCUAUAUAUCUAUUGCAAUAAUAAAAUAAUAGGAGCAAAUACUUCGUACAAUAACAUUCUUAUUUUCAAACUGAAUUGUACCAAAAUUACACAUUACAAUUACUUAUUUUAAAUAUAUAUUUUUAAAAAGGUAAAUUUUGUACAUACUUAUCGGUAACAACGGUCCACUUCCCGAGUAGAAAUUUAUUCAGGCGUGCCUGUUGUCAUGUACGGCCCUGAUCAGGUAUAAAUGAGGCAUGCCUGACUACGGCAUGCCAGAUCAGGUCCUGACUGGUGCCAUAUCAAGCAUGCCUGGUUAUAUAUAAUCAGGCAAGCCUGAUAAGGCAAUAAUCAGGACCUUUUUGAGUAUCCCCUAAUACACAAAUUUUCAAAAUAUUUGGCUGUGUUGUCCGUCCGCCUUAGGCAUGUGCAGAUGUGCAGUGUAUUAAUCUCAUAUAUAAUACACAUGCACUGUGUUAUUAUUAUAGAAUAGCUGUUAAUCCACCGCUAUCAGAAAUUGUGUUUUUUAUAUAUCUCUAUAUCUGGCUUCGAAACUAUAGACUCUACUGAUUUCAUCUUUUGUACAGUCAAUCUUUUUCUAAUUGCAGAGGACAUGAGUGACAAUAAAAGAAAACGAAAGCAAGAGCUAACACGACUACAGGUGAAGCGGCACAGAAAACAUAAAGCUUAUUGUAGUACAUCUGAAAAUGGAAAUAAAUCUGACAGUUCAUCUGCUUCAAUGGCUUCUCCUGCUGCUGCUUCAAUCUCAAAUGAGCAAGAAUUCUUUAUGGACAUCGAACAAUUCAUAUGAUGAAAACACUGCAGUGAACAAUAAUAAUGAAAAUUUAAACUUAACGCAGGAUUC